GAUGAACGCUGGCGGCGUGCCUAAUACAUGCAAGUCGAACGCGCAGCGAAAGGUGCUUGCACCUUUCAAGCGAGUGGCGAACGGGUGAGUAACACGUGGAUAACCUGCCUCAAGGCUGGGGAUAACAUUUGGAAACAGAUGCUAAUACCGAAUAAAACUUAGUAUCGCAUGAUACAAAGUUAAAAGGCGCUACGGCGUCACCUAGAGAUGGAUCCGCGGUGCAUUAGUUAGUUGGUGGGGUAAAGGCUUACCAAGACGAUGAUGCAUAGCCGAGUUGAGAGACUGAUCGGCCACAGUGGGACUGAGACACGGCCCAAACUCCUACGGGAGGCUGCAGUAGGGAAUCUUCCACAAUGGGCGCAAGCCUGAUGGAGCAACGCCGCGUGUUUGACGAAGGCUUUCGGGUCGUAAAGCACUGUUGUAUGGGAAGAAAUGCUAAAAUAGGGAAUGAUUUUAGUUUGACGGUACCAUACCAGAAAGGGACGGCUAAAUACGUGCCAGCAGCCGCCGUAA
This 513-nucleotide ribosomal RNA is filed under the name uncultured bacterium. RNAcentral describes it as "partial 16S ribosomal RNA". It matches the Rfam family "Bacterial small subunit ribosomal RNA", at positions 28 to 523 of the family's 1533-position model. The record is from RNAcentral.